CCUUCGGGACUGAUUAUUUUGUGACUGAGUGGCGGACGGGUGAGUAACGCGUGGGUAACCUGCCUUGUACAGGGGGAUAACAGUUGGAAACGGCUGCUAAUACCGCAUAAGCGCACAGCAUCGCAUGAUGCAGUGUGAAAAACUCCGGUGGUAUAAGAUGGACCCGCGUUGGAUUAGCUAGUUGGUGAGGUAACGGCCCACCAAGGCGACGAUCCAUAGCCGACCUGAGAGGGUGACCGGCCACAUUGGGACUGAGACACGGCCCAAACUCCUACGGGAGGCAGCAGUGGGGAAUAUUGCACAAUGGGCGAAAGCCUGAUGCAGCGACGCCGCGUGAGCGAAGAAGUAUUUCGGUAUGUAAAGCUCUAUCAGCAGGGAAGAUAAUGACGGUACCUGACUAAGAAGCACCGGCUAAAUACGUGCCAGCAGCCGCGGUAAUACGUAUGGUGCAAGCGUUAUCCGGAUUUACUGGGUGUAAAGGGAGCGCAGGCGGUGCGGCAAGUCUGAUGUGAAAGCCCGGGGCUCAACCCCGGUACUGCAUUGGAAACUGUCGUACUAGAGUGUCGGAGGGGUAAGCGGAAUUCCUAGUGUAGCGGUGAAAUGCGUAGAUAUUAGGAGGAACACCAGUGGCGAAGGCGGCUUACUGGACGAUAAC
This 655-nucleotide ribosomal RNA is filed under the name uncultured Lachnospiraceae bacterium. Its description in RNAcentral is "bacterial SSU rRNA". It matches the Rfam family "Bacterial small subunit ribosomal RNA", at positions 63 to 740 of the family's 1533-position model. The record is from RNAcentral. Lineage: Bacteria; Bacillati; Bacillota; Clostridia; Lachnospirales; Lachnospiraceae.